RNAcentral lists this transfer RNA (71 nucleotides) under Cairneyella variabilis. RNAcentral's name for it is "tRNA-Arg". It matches the Rfam family "tRNA". From Rfam's summary of the family: Transfer RNA (tRNA) molecules are approximately 80 nucleotides in length. Their secondary structure includes four short double-helical elements and three loops (D, anti-codon, and T loops). Further hydrogen bonds mediate the characteristic L-shaped molecular structure. tRNAs have two regions of fundamental functional importance: the anti-codon, which is responsible for specific mRNA codon recognition, and the 3' end, to which the tRNAs corresponding amino acid is attached (by aminoacyl-tRNA synthetases). tRNAs cope with the degeneracy of the genetic code in two manners: having more than one tRNA (with a specific anti-codon) for a particular amino acid; and 'wobble' base-pairing, i.e. permitting non-standard base-pairing at the 3rd anti-codon position. Lineage: Eukaryota; Fungi; Ascomycota; Leotiomycetes; Helotiales. The record is from RNAcentral.
GGCGCGUUAACUUAAUGGUAAAGUUUUGUAUUACGGCUACAAUGAUACAGGUUCAAGUCUUGUACGCGUCU